RNAcentral lists this ribosomal RNA (495 nucleotides) under uncultured bacterium. RNAcentral's name for it is "partial 16S ribosomal RNA". It matches the Rfam family "Bacterial small subunit ribosomal RNA", at positions 28 to 507 of the family's 1533-position model. The record is from RNAcentral.
GACGAACGCUGGCGGCGUGCCUAAUACAUGCAAGUAGAACGCUGAAGGAGGAGCUUGCUCUUCUGGAUGAGUUGCGAACGGGUGAGUAACGCGUAGGUAACCUGCCUGGUAGCGGGGGAUAACUAUUGGAAACGAUAGCUAAUACCGCAUAACAGUAGAUGUUGCAUGACAUUUACUUAAAAGGUGCAAUUGCAUCACUACCAGAUGGACCUGCGUUGUAUUAGCUAGUUGGUGGGGUAACGGCUCACCAAGGCGACGAUACAUAGCCGACCUGAGAAGGUGAUCGGCCACACUGGGACUGAGACACGGCCCAGACUCCUACGGGAGGCAGCAGUAGGGAAUCUUCGGCAAUGGACGGAAGUCUGACCGAGCAACGCCGCGGGAGUGAAGAAGGUUUUCGGAUCGUAAAGCUCUGUUGUAAGAGAAGAACGAGUGUGAGAGUGGAAAGUUCACACUGUGACGGUAGCUGAACAGAAAGGGACGGCUAACUACGUG